CUACACAUGCAGUCGAGCGGGAUCUUCGGAUCUAGCGGCGGACGGGUUAGUAACGCGUGGGAACGUACCCAGAUCUACGGAAUAGCCUCGGGAAACUGAGAGUAAUACCGUAUACGCCCUUCGGGGGAAAGAUUUAUCGGAUUUGGAUCGGCCCGCGUAAGAUUAGAUAGUUGGUGGGGUAAUGGCCUACCAAGUCUACGAUCUUUAGCUGGUUUGAGAGGAUGAUCAGCAACACUGGGACUGAGACACGGCCCAGACUCCUACGGGAGGCAGCAGUGGGGAAUCUUAGACAAUGGGCGCAAGCCUGAUCUAGCGAUGCCGCGUGAGUGAUGAAGGCCUUAGGGUCGUAAAGCUCUUUCGCCUGUGAAGAUAAUGACGGUAGCAGGUAAAGAAACCCCGGCUAACUCCGUGCCAGCAGCCGCGGUAAUACGGAGGGGGUUAGCGUUGUUCGGAAUUACUGGGCGUAAAGCGCACGUAGGCGGACUAGUCAGUCAGGGGUGAAAUCCCAGGGCUCAACCCUGGAACUGCCUUUGAUACUGCUAGUCUUGAGUUCGAGAGAGGUAAGUGGGAAUUCCGAGUGUAGAGGUGAAAUUCGUAGAUAUUCGGAGGAACACCAGUGGCGAAGGCGGCUUACUGGCUCGAUACUGACGC
Molecule: ribosomal RNA, 651 nt
Filed under: uncultured Roseobacter sp.
Lineage: Bacteria; Pseudomonadati; Pseudomonadota; Alphaproteobacteria; Rhodobacterales; Roseobacteraceae
Description: bacterial SSU rRNA
Rfam family: Bacterial small subunit ribosomal RNA
Source: RNAcentral